GUUCAUCUGAUGAGUCCCAAAUUGGACGAAACGUGCGUCAGACUGGAU
RNAcentral lists this non-coding RNA (48 nucleotides) under Schistosoma mattheei. Lineage: Eukaryota; Metazoa; Platyhelminthes; Trematoda; Strigeidida; Schistosomatidae. The record is from RNAcentral.